CAGCUUGUUGGUGAGGUAAUGGCUCACCAAGGCGACGACGGGUAGCCGGCCUGAGAGGGCGAUCGGCCACACUGGGACUGAGACACGGCCCAGACUCCUACGGGAGGCAGCAGUGGGGAAUAUUGCACAAUGGGCGAAAGCCUGAUGCAGCGACGCCGCGUGAGGGAUGAAGGCCUUCGGGUUGUAAACCUCUUUCAGCAGGGAAGAAGCCGCUGGGUUUUCUUGGUGGUGACGGUACCUGCAGAAGAAGCACCGGCUAACUACGUGCCAGCAGCCGCGGUAAUACGUAGGGUGCAAGCGUUGUCCGGAAUUAUUGGGCGUAAAGAGCUUGUAGGCGGUUUGUCGCGUCUGCUGUGAAAUUUCGGGGCUCAACCCCGAACUUGCAGUGGGUACGGGCAGACUAGAGUGUGGUAGGGGAGACUGGAAUUCCUGGUGUAGCGGUGAAAUGCGCAGAUAUCAGGAGGAACACCGAUGGCGAAGGCAGGUCUCUGGGCCACUACUGACGCUGAGAAGCGAAAGCAUGGGGAGCGAACAGGAUUAGAUACCCUGGUAGUCCACGCCGUAAACGUUGGGCGCUAGGUGUGGGGAACCUUCCACGUUCUCCGUGCCGCAGCUAACGCAUUAAGCG
RNAcentral lists this ribosomal RNA (628 nucleotides) under uncultured Actinomycetes bacterium. RNAcentral's name for it is "bacterial SSU rRNA". It matches the Rfam family "Bacterial small subunit ribosomal RNA", at positions 242 to 866 of the family's 1533-position model. The record is from RNAcentral. Lineage: Bacteria; Bacillati; Actinomycetota; Actinomycetes.